RNAcentral lists this ribosomal RNA (349 nucleotides) under uncultured Desulfobacteraceae bacterium. Its description in RNAcentral is "bacterial SSU rRNA". It matches the Rfam family "Bacterial small subunit ribosomal RNA", at positions 1030 to 1382 of the family's 1533-position model. The record is from RNAcentral. Lineage: Bacteria; Pseudomonadati; Thermodesulfobacteriota; Desulfobacteria; Desulfobacterales; Desulfobacteraceae.
GGUGACAGGUGCUGCAUGGCUGUCGUCAGCUCGUGUCGUGAGAUGUUGGUUAAGUCCCGCAACGAGCGCAACCUUAUCUUUAGUUACCAUCAUUAAGUUGGGGACUCUAAAGAUACUGCCCCGGUUAACGGGGAGGAAGGUGGGGAUGACGUCAAGUCCUCAUGGCCUUUAUGUCCAGGGCUACACACGUGCUACAAUGGGUUGUACAAAGGGUUGCGAACUCGCGAGAGUAAGCCAAUCCCAAAAAGCAACUCUUAGUUCGGAUUGGAGUCUGCAACUCGACUCCAUGAAGCUGGAAUCGCUAGUAAUCGUGGAUCAGCAUGCCACGGUGAAUACGUUCCCGGGCCUU